GGCGCGGUAGCCAAGUGGUAAGGCCGAGCUCUGCAAAAGCUCUAUCCGCCGGUUCGAUUCCGGCCCGCGCCUCCA
This 75-nucleotide transfer RNA is filed under the name Cephaloticoccus sp. RNAcentral's name for it is "tRNA-Cys". It matches the Rfam family "tRNA". Rfam says of the family: Transfer RNA (tRNA) molecules are approximately 80 nucleotides in length. Their secondary structure includes four short double-helical elements and three loops (D, anti-codon, and T loops). Lineage: Bacteria; Pseudomonadati; Verrucomicrobiota; Opitutia; Opitutales; Opitutaceae. The record is from RNAcentral. RNAcentral also lists the same sequence under 1 other name.